Molecule: non-coding RNA, 73 nt
Organism: Stegodyphus mimosarum
Lineage: Eukaryota; Metazoa; Arthropoda; Arachnida; Araneae; Eresidae
Source: Rfam
GCCUUUGUGGUGUAGUGGUCAGUACGCUCGACGCGUAACCGAGUGGUCCAUGGUUCGAUUCUUGGUGAAGGCG